ACCAGCAGCGAUAGCUCCUUGAAAGCACCAGUUCCGCAUGGAUUACUGAAGUUGAGCACGGUUGCGCGUGGUUAGUACCCGGAUGGGUGACCAUCUGGCCAAUAGCGUGCUGCUAGGU
This 118-nucleotide ribosomal RNA is filed under the name Diaphorina citri (Asian citrus psyllid). Lineage: Eukaryota; Metazoa; Arthropoda; Insecta; Hemiptera; Psyllidae. The record is from RNAcentral.